AUUGAACGCUGGCGGCAGGCCUAACACAUGCAGGUCGAGCGGAUGAAGGGAGCUUGCUCCUGGAUUCAGCGGCGGACGGGUGAGUAAUGCCUAGGAAUCUGCCUGGUAGUGGGGGAUAACGUCCGGAAACGGGCGCUAAUACCGCAUACGUCCUGAGGGAGAAAGUGGGGGAUCUUCGGACCUCACGCUAUCAGAUGAGCCUAGGUCGGAUUAGCUAGUUGGUGGGGUGAAGGCCUACCAAGGCGACGAUCCGUAACUGGUCUGAGAGGAUGAUCAGUCACACUGGAACUGAGACACGGUCCAGACUCCUACGGGAGGCAGCAGUGGGGAAUAUUGGACAAUGGGCGAAAGCCUGAUCCAGCCAUGCCGCGUGUGUGAAGAAGGUCUUCGGAUUGUAAAGCACUUUAAGUUGGGAGGAAGGGCAGUAAGUUAAUACCUUGCUGUUUUGACGUUACCAACAGAAUAAGCACCGGCUAACUUCGUG
RNAcentral lists this ribosomal RNA (484 nucleotides) under uncultured bacterium. RNAcentral's name for it is "partial 16S ribosomal RNA". It matches the Rfam family "Bacterial small subunit ribosomal RNA", at positions 30 to 507 of the family's 1533-position model. The record is from RNAcentral.